RNAcentral lists this ribosomal RNA (369 nucleotides) under uncultured organism. Its description in RNAcentral is "bacterial SSU rRNA". It matches the Rfam family "Bacterial small subunit ribosomal RNA", at positions 526 to 896 of the family's 1533-position model. The record is from RNAcentral.
CGUAGGUGGCAAGCGUUGUCCGGAUUUAGUUGGGUUUAAAGGGUGCGUAGGCGGUCUUGUAAGUCAGUGGUGAAAUACGGCAGCUUAACUGUCGAGGUGCCAUUGAUACUGCAGGACUUGAGUACAGACGAGGUAGGCGGAAUUGACGGUGUAGCGGUGAAAUGCUUAGAUAUCGUCAAGAACACCGAUAGCGAAGGCAGCUUACUAGACUGUAACUGACGCUGAUGCACGAAAGUGUGGGGAUCAAACAGGAUUAGAUACCCUGGUAGUCCACACUGUAAACGAUGAUUACUCGAUGUUGGCGAUACACAGCCAGCGUCUUAGCGAAAGCGAUAAGUAAUCCACCUGGGGAGUACGCCGGCAACGGUG